GGUGAUGAUAUUCAGUGGGUAUAAAGUUUCAGUUAUGCAAAAUGAGGAAGCCAAAAGAUGGGACAACCCUGCCCUAGGCCUUCACAUUCACUCUCCACUAACUCACUGACUCACCCAGAGCAAUGUCCAGCCCUGCAAACUCCAUUCAUGGCUGGUUUUGAACUGCUCGCCUCAAGUGAUCCUCCUGCCAGGGCCUCUCAAAGUGUUGGGAUUACAGGUGUGAACCACUGUGCCCAGUCUCCUUUUUAACAGAAGGAAAAGCCAAAACUCAGAGAGGUUAUAUAACUUAUUAAGGUCAUGUAACACUACUCGGAUAAAUGGGAGAACGAGUCUGGGGAAGUGGCUUCAGAGGAAUGAACAUGAGACACAGAAUGUGAAUUAUAGUGUCACUCUCUGAAAGAGAACGAAGUAAUUUUCUGAAGGGAAGCUGCAGAAUAUGGAAAAC
This 445-nucleotide small RNA is filed under the name Pan troglodytes (chimpanzee). RNAcentral's name for it is "processed transcript". The record is from RNAcentral. Lineage: Eukaryota; Metazoa; Chordata; Mammalia; Primates; Hominidae.